GAGGACCGAACCGACUAAUGUUGAAAAAUUAGCGGAUGACCUGUGGCUGGGGGUGAAAGGCCAAUCAAACCGGGAGAUAGCUGGUUCUCCCCGAAAGCUAUUUAGGUAGCGCCUCGUGAAUUCAUCUCCGGGGGUAGAGCACUGUUUCGGCUAGGGGGCCAUCCCGGCUUACCAACCCGAUGCAAACUGCGAAUACCGGAGAAUGUUAUCACGGGAGACACACGGCGGGUGCUAACGUCCGUCGUGAAGAGGGAAACAACCCAGACCGCCAGCUAAGGUCCCAAAGUCAUGGUUAAGUGGGAAACGAUGUGGGAAGGCCCAGACAGCCAGGAUGUUGGCUUAGAAGCAGCCAUCAUUUAAAGAAAGCGUAAUAGCUCACUGGUCGAGUCGGCCUGCGCGGAAGAUGUAACGGGGCUAAACCAUGCACCGAAGCUGCGGCAGCGACACUGUGUGUUGUUGGGUAGGGGAGCGUUCUGUAAGCCUGUGAAGGUGUGUCGUGAGGCAUGCUGGAGGUAUCAGAAGUGCGAAUGCUGACAUAAGUAACGAUAAAGCGGGUGAAAAGCCCGCUCGCCGGAAGACCAAGGGUUCCUGUCCAACGUUAAUCGGGGCAGGGUGAGUCGACCCCUAAGGCGAGGCCGAAAGGCGUAGUCGAUGGGAAACGGGUUAAUAUUCCCGUACUUGGUGUUACUGCGAAGGGGGGACGGAGAAGGCUAUGUUGGCCGGG
This 724-nucleotide ribosomal RNA is filed under the name Salmonella enterica. Its description in RNAcentral is "partial 23S ribosomal RNA". It matches the Rfam family "Bacterial large subunit ribosomal RNA", at positions 769 to 1495 of the family's 2925-position model. RNAcentral also lists the same sequence under 2 other names. Lineage: Bacteria; Pseudomonadati; Pseudomonadota; Gammaproteobacteria; Enterobacterales; Enterobacteriaceae. The record is from RNAcentral.